RNAcentral lists this ribosomal RNA (328 nucleotides) under uncultured eukaryote. Its description in RNAcentral is "partial 18S ribosomal RNA". It matches the Rfam family "Eukaryotic small subunit ribosomal RNA", at positions 1470 to 1796 of the family's 1831-position model. The record is from RNAcentral.
CCCUUAGAUGUUCUGGGCCGCACGCGCGCUACACUGACUGGUGCAACAAGUGUCGCUCCUUGGCCGAUAGGCCUGGGCAAUCUUUGAACGCCAGUCGUGAUGGGGAUAGAUUCUUGCAAUUUUUGAUCUUCAACGAGGAAUGCCUAGUAAGCGCAAGUCAUCAGCUUGCGUUGAUUACGUCCCUGCCCUUUGUACACACCGCCCGUCGCUCCUACCGAUUGAAUGGUCCGGUGAAGCGUUCGGACCGUGGCCUUUGGACGGUUCGCCGUCUGUUGGCUGCGGGAAGUUCGUUAAACCUUAUCAUUUAGAGGAAGGAGAAGUCGUANCA